This 583-nucleotide long non-coding RNA is filed under the name Physcomitrium patens. Its description in RNAcentral is "long non-coding RNA (PPAT_LNC001096)". The record is from RNAcentral. Lineage: Eukaryota; Viridiplantae; Streptophyta; Bryopsida; Funariales; Funariaceae.
UCUAAAGAAAAUUCAAAGAAAUUAUGAAAAAAAUAUGAAAAAAUCUUAAUGAAAUUCAAAUGAAGUAUUAAAAUAAAAUCCAAAAUAUAUCUUAAAUAAAUUUCAACCAAAUCUUACUUUAAUUCUAGUUAAGAUUCUAAUAGUCUUUACUUAAAUCCUAAGUCAAAUCCUAACUAAAUCCUAAACAAAUACUAUAUCGUAACCAAUUCCUAAAUCCUAAACUAAAUCCUAAUCAAAUUAACCUAAUCCUAGGGAAAUUUAGAACUUCAAUAUCUAUCAAUUAUACCAUUGAUCUUGCUUAAGAUUUUACACGCCUUUCAACAACUAAGUUGGUAAGAAGCACUUAAAAUUUGAAGAAAAUCAAACUUAUUGAACAAAAGAUUAAUCCUAAAUUCCACUCGAGUUUUGGCCGACCUCCUAUUUCAAUCUAAAUGUUGAACUUCUAGUGCAAAUAUCUUCUUUCUAAACUAUUGGAUUGCAUCCAAAAUACAUUCAAAUUAUGUAAAAUCAAGUCUAAUCUGUACACAAAAAAAUUCACUUCGAUCCAAUUAAUAAAUUACUAAAGAUCUUAAAAAUACUUACU